Solanum dulcamara is the source of this 426-nucleotide long non-coding RNA. RefSeq lists it as uncharacterized. The transcript is spliced from 3 exons. The record is from RefSeq and is a predicted model, not a curated record. Lineage: Eukaryota; Viridiplantae; Streptophyta; Magnoliopsida; Solanales; Solanaceae.
ACGAAUCCUACUCGAUGUGUAGAAUAUAAUUUUCAAAUAAAAUUCUAGAUUUGACCCUUUUCAAAAAUAAUUUUUUUUUUUGGAUAAUUUUACCCCCGAUUUUGAAACCUAUCAAUAUGGGUGUCAUUGGACUCCUUGUGAUGUGUAUGUUUCAUUGUUGAUAGUGGAUUGUCAUUUCGGGCGCUGAAUUCGAGAUUUGCUUGUCCGGUGGAGGUAUUCGGGUGCGGUUUCGGCAAUUGAGGAUCUGACAAGCAUCACACACAUCCCACUCAUGGCUAAAGUUGAGCUUUACUUCUAUAUAGUUGGUCACGACGCGCCAUAUCACACCUAUUGUUAGUACUUGGAUCUUAUCGGCGUAGUUUUGGUUGGUGAGUCAUCAUGCUUCGAGGAUACAACCAUCUUAUGAUGUCUUUUAUUUCAUAUUGC